CCUACGGGUGGCAGCAGUAGGGCAUAUUGCUCAAUGGGGGAAACCCUGAAGCAGCAACGCCGCGUGGAGGAUGAAGGUUUUAGGAUUGUAAACUCCUUUUGUGAGAGAAGAUAAUGACGGUAUCUCACGAAUAAGCACCGGCUAACUCCGUGCCAGCAGCCGCGGUAAUACGGAGGGUGCAAGCGUUACUCGGAAUCACUGGGCGUAAAGAGUGCGUAGGCGGGAUGCCAAGACAGCGGUAAAAAUGCGGUGCUCAACGCCGUCGAGCCGUUGAAACUGGCGUUCUUGAGUGGGCGAGAAGUAUGCGGAAUGCGUGGUGUAGCGGUGAAAUGCAUAGAUAUCACGCAGAACUCCGAUUGCGAAGGCAGCAUACCGGCGCCCUACUGACGCUGAGGCACGAAAGCGUGGGUAUCGAACAGGAUUAGAUACCCUAGUAGUC
Molecule: ribosomal RNA, 439 nt
Filed under: uncultured bacterium
Lineage: Bacteria
Description: partial 16S ribosomal RNA
Rfam family: Bacterial small subunit ribosomal RNA
Source: RNAcentral